This is a long non-coding RNA of Megalopta genalis, 1044 nucleotides long. RefSeq lists it as uncharacterized. Lineage: Eukaryota; Metazoa; Arthropoda; Insecta; Hymenoptera; Halictidae. The record is from RefSeq and is a predicted model, not a curated record.
CGAUUAACCGAGUCGGUAGAACAUUUUGCACUCGUCUUUCCGGUUCUCCUUUGACGAAGACAACAACCGAACCGCCGAAAAACUUGAAACCCACCUCGUAGCACAGCGGACUAUGGAUAACAAAGAUCAGAUUUAUUCGUCAGUUUUAGCGGCGCGAAGGAUCUCUCUCGAUCCCGUUAAACGCAGAAAAGUUUCUCUUUUACGAAAGUUUCCUUGUCUAUCAGCUAGUCGACUCGCGUUUCCUUGAUCGCAAAUGUCCGAUAUUACGAAUACACGUAUAUUUACUCGAUGAAAAUGACUAAAUACACUCUGGAUGACGCGAAUUCAUUGUCGGAUGUCGGUGAUACGAAUGCCUGCGUAAAACGAAUCAUUCACGUGACGAAAAGAUCCUUUGUUUUGACUCGAAACGACUCGGCUUCCACUUUUCACUUACCAACCACGAGCAGGGCGAAGAUCGUGCAAAGCAAAAGCAGCUUGUUACGCAUGCUGCCUGUUUUUGGCUUCCCCGAUGAUCUAGUUUCCUUUUCGAUCGGCUUUCUUGUGAGAUUGUCCGCUGCGACGAUGCGAUCUAGGAUCUCCGCGAAGAUCGAUGCUGACUGUUGGACGGCUGGCCCGUUACUGAAACGCUUCCAACCGGAAACAUUCACGCUUGCACACGCUGAACUCGGUUCGGACUUGCAGCGUUGCGUCUGUCCGGGGCUUUCUCCUUGCAUCGAUCUUUGACGCGAUCGAGAUCAAGUGGUAGGGAUCCAGCGAUCCGACACCGAGACAAAGUUCGCGGAACGAGCGAAGCUCUUUGUGAGGCAACCAUGGCAAUGACGUGGUUCCGAGUUGUAAACAUUUUGUUAAUAUUCGCGCAUAAUCUUUCCAUAAUAGGAGAUCGAUUACUACCGCAAAUUAAAUUUUAAGUCAUUGAAGUCCCGCGCUACCAGAAAUGUUUGAAGAUACUCCGUGGCAUAUAAUAGAUCGUAAUUAUAUUUGUAUACUUACAUACUUUCGAUUUAUAAAUAAUAUACAAAUUUAAUGCUACAAAUUUCUUAACGA